GGGUUUAGGAGCAUCAUACUAGUACAUGGUUAAAUCCAAAUUCUCUUAGACUUGGGCUUCCUAUUUGAUAAGAUUUUGACCAAGCCAAUUGCAUGCACUUUUGGAUAAGGAUGAGGACUCAUCUAACCAUAUCUAGGUGUGGAAUACAUGGAAAGAAGGAGUGCCAAUUGCACCCCCUCACCUUUCAUCAUGAGAAAAGAGAGAGGGGGCAUGCACCCCCUUCUGGAUAAGAUCCAGGGGUGCACACCCAUCUAGAUAAGCCCUGGCAUCCUAGGAUUUUGGAAGGAUAAGGGGUGCCCCA
RNAcentral lists this long non-coding RNA (301 nucleotides) under Elaeis guineensis (African oil palm). RNAcentral's name for it is "long non-coding RNA (EGUI_LNC018484)". The record is from RNAcentral. Lineage: Eukaryota; Viridiplantae; Streptophyta; Magnoliopsida; Arecales; Arecaceae.